CGUGAGAUGUUGGGUUAAGUCCCGCAACGAGCGCAACCCUUGAUCUUAGUUGCCAUCAUUUAGUUGGGCACUCUAAGGUGACUGCCGGUGACAAACCGGAGGAAGGUGGGGAUGACGUCAAAUCAUCAUGCCCCUUAUGACCUGGGCUACACACGUGCUACAAUGGACGAUACAAACGGUUGCCAACUCGCGAGAGGGAGCUAAUCCGAUAAAGUCGUUCUCAGUUCGGAUUGUAGGCUGCAACUCGCCUACAUGAAGCCGGAAUCGCUAGUAAUCGCGGAUCAGCAUGCCGCGGUGAAUACGUUCCCGGGCCUUGUACACACCGCCCGUCACACCACGAGAGGUUGUAACACCCGAAGUCGGUGGGGUAACCUUUAUGGAGCCAGCCGCCGAAGGUGGGAUAGAUGAUUGGGGUGAAGUCGUAACAAGGUAGCCGUAUCGGAAGGUGCGGCUGGAUCACCUCCUUUCUAAGGA
Molecule: ribosomal RNA, 474 nt
Filed under: Lysinibacillus xylanilyticus
Lineage: Bacteria; Bacillati; Bacillota; Bacilli; Caryophanales; Bacillaceae
Description: bacterial SSU rRNA
Rfam family: Bacterial small subunit ribosomal RNA
Source: RNAcentral